UGCAGAGAGGCAGCUCUCUUUUUUACAACUGGAAAGUGAGCGCGUGCGGUGUGUGCGUGUGGAACCAUGGGUCCAUUGGACCUGUGGUUCGGCAUUACAUAUGACCUGGGCCAUAAUUUCAGAUCCAUUAAGGAGGAGGAACCUACAGUUUGGAGGGAAAACCUCAACCCUGGAUUUCACAAGACUGGUGUUAUAUCAGAGAAGCACUGGCUCUUUCCAUUGGAUCCCAGAGCUAUCUCUGGAUGAGUGGGAAAGCCUUCCGCCUUUUUAAUCACUAUAAAAUAGGGGCCCAGUCCCCCACUACUUUGUCACCAGCAGAGUCAUGAAUAAAUUGCCAGACACCAUAUCACCAGCUGCUACUAGUGUCCAGAAAGGGAGAAGCUGAGGAACACUCUCUCAACCAAGGACCUGACUACUGCUACACUAAGCACACACAUAUGUAUUCCCUGCACUCUGUGUAUUCCAAGCCAACUCUGUGAGGAAACCGGAGAGGCUGGCUGAAGGAGCCAGUUCUGGUGACGGAAGAAAAGAGGAGGAGGAGGAAGCAAGCCCAGAAAUGGAAAGGCAGGAAAAUUAAAGUGAUCCUGUCAACAUCAUGCAGAAGAGAAUCAGAACCCCUGACUGCCGCUCUAACCUUUGAACUCUUGCCCUAACAAGGUAAUACUUUUGUGAGCAUCACCUUUGCAGGCACCACUGCAAACCAACUGAUUUAUAUGCACAUGUGAACUGGCUCUAAAUACGAAAUAGUACAAUGCAAGUUGUGUCUGGGGAUGCGAAAGCUCAGUUUUGAAAUGCUAAACUGAAAACACUACUAAUUUCAUUUUAAAAUAUCUUAUUAAAAUAUCUCAUUUUUCCCUACAUUCUCAGGAUUUUUCACCCUAACUUACAUAUGUCGAGAUAAAAAAUGUAUUUCAUAGGUUAUCAAAAAUCUCAUCCAGAGCUCAAUGAAAUGUAAAAACAUACACUCUCUUUGUCAUUUCCACUCUCAGUUUAGAUGGUAGGCAGCGGCUUCUUGGGAUAGGCACCUACUUUUCCCUCUUACAUUACUCUGUAAAUUGCCAAUGCAAUUAUAGUACUAUAGGCAUCAAUAACAAUAAUGAAUACUAACAAAAUAUGUACUUGUUUAGAUGCAUUUGUGGACUCUUUAUAAGUCUGCCCCAUUUUAGUUUUAAAGUGUUGUAGGGUUGUAAUGCCCAUUUGUAUGAAGAUUCAGUGCAUUUUUAUUGUUGAUUUGUCAGCUUUCCUGAGCAUCUUUCAGAAGUAGGCUUCUCCUUCUGGUAGAGGUAAGAUAUCAAUUUUAAAAAUAAAUACAUCAAUAAAUCAAGA
Molecule: long non-coding RNA, 1326 nt
Organism: Hemicordylus capensis (graceful crag lizard)
Lineage: Eukaryota; Metazoa; Chordata; Lepidosauria; Squamata; Cordylidae
Exons: 4
Source: RefSeq, a predicted model, not a curated record